Molecule: long non-coding RNA, 1369 nt
Organism: Triticum aestivum (bread wheat)
Lineage: Eukaryota; Viridiplantae; Streptophyta; Magnoliopsida; Poales; Poaceae
Exons: 5
Source: RefSeq, a predicted model, not a curated record
UAUGAACCUAACUCCAUUCCAAUCGUUUCCUUGAUUGUCAUCUUUCUCGUUUUUAAUUUAGCUUUAGUUUUUGCUUUUCAAUCUGCUCAGGCUGUGGCCUUAUGAGCUGUAAUAAUCAGUAGAACUUUGCUAGAUGUUUUUAGUUUUCCCUUUGGACGCGAUGUAGGUGCUUUUGUUCUCUCUAUCUCUGGUUUCGUUAAAGCAAUGGAACCGCGGGGGAGGGGGGGCUUUGGCCCUCCUAGUAGUCUAAAAAAACGAAAAAUGGCAGGUAUUCUUGCUAGAUUAAAGUUGCACUUGAACUUGUAAAAUCAUUGUUUUCAGCCACUUGAUUGAAAUAUCAUUUAUAUAGGUUGUAAAUUUGAAAGAAGCAAGGGAUUUCUCCAGCAGCACAGGAUUCAUUUAUGCUUUCAUCGUUUGAUACUCUCCUAGUUUAUCCGAGCAAAUAAAUGUCUUCUUGUGCUGUUACCUAAUGUACUAGGACAUAAUCAAUGAAGAAUAGUAUACACAGUUUCUGAUCUCCCAUAUUUUUUGUUUAAAUUCACAGAAAUUGGAAUGGCAGUUACUUUCAGUUGAUCUUUUACCCAACCCUGACUUGGGGCUGUUGUUACUACUGCCGCUGGUCUUGGUGAGGCUCAUAACACAUAUUCAACAUUCAUUUCGGCUUUUGGCAACAGCCAAACAAAUGACUCAUUUCAGUCAACGGCAUGGGAUAUCAAUGUUCUCGUGGACUCUAUCAAUGAAAUUGCCACACGAACAAAUUGGACAAGUGUAAUGGAAAACCUGGACCACGAGGGUUUCAGUAUCCCUGAUGAAGGGGCUUUCCGUCUAUUGAUGUCUAUAUAUUCUCGGGCUUGCAAGGAUCCAUUUCCGCUUCAUGCCAUCUGUGGGUCACUGUGGAAGAAUUUAGAAGGGCAAUUAUCAUUCUUGAAACAUUUAAACAUUCUUCUAGGAAGCUGGUAUUUCCAGACUUGGCUAAUCAUAUCCAAGGCAAUCAGGCUUGGUACUGCCUAGACCUUUUGGAGGUGUUAUGCCAGCUUGCUGACCUUGGCUAUGCAACAUUAGUGCGACCGCUGCUGGACUACCCACUCAGUCAUUGUCCAAACGUCUUACUUCUUGGCGUUAGCCAAAUCAAUACUGCAUACAAUCUCCUCCAUUAUGAAGUAUUGUCAUGUGUAUUCCCUGCUUUAUUGAAGGACAGUAAAAAUAGCAGUCUAAUGAACUAUCUCUGGCAUCUCAACCCUUCCCUUACUCUCCGAGGAUUUGUUGAUGCUCAUUCUGAUAUAAUUUGUCUUUUGAGAACUGUUGAUAUAUGUCAAGACCUAAAGGUAACACAAUUACGCUUAUCUGAUGCAAUGACUUUUGAGUUGCA